This is a long non-coding RNA of Oncorhynchus kisutch (coho salmon), 427 nucleotides long. RefSeq lists it as uncharacterized. The transcript is spliced from 4 exons. The record is from RefSeq and is a predicted model, not a curated record. Lineage: Eukaryota; Metazoa; Chordata; Actinopteri; Salmoniformes; Salmonidae.
UGCGUGCAAGCAGCUUGCUUGCACGAGCACAUCAGUCAACAACAUUUUACUAAAAAAAGAUUUUACUGCUAAGUGGUAGUCCCUGUUCUCCUGCAUUAUUGUUUAACUUUUGAAUCUUCUAGCUUGGAAGGAUGGAGGAGUGAACAAAGGGAAGGAGUACUGAAGUUACCCAGCCUGCUGACUAAGAAAUCUCCUGAAACAUGUCAAUGACUUAAUGUAUGGGGUCUACAACAGUUACCAGUGACCUAUUCUGCCACAUCCCAGUGAAAGGAGAGAGCAGAACCACCCCUCCUUAAACCCAUAGUCAUUGACAAUCUGACCCAUCGCACGACUCUUGAAGAGGGCCACUACGCUACCAGAUCGCCUUCUGUGCUCAGAGGUCCUUGAUGACAACCCCAUCGCACCACUCGUAUGAAUCACUAAUCAA